AUGCACGCUGGCGGCGUGCCUAAUACAUGCAAGUCGAGCGAACGGACGAGAAGCUUGCUUCUCUGAUGUUAGCGGCGGACGGGUGAGUAACACGUGGAUAACCUACCUAUAAGACUGGGAUAACUUCGGGAAACCGUAGCUAAUACCGGAUAAUAUUUUGAACCGCAUGGUUCAAAAGUGAAAGACGGUCUUGCUGUCACUUAUAGAUGGAUCCGCGCUGCAUUAGCUAGUUGGUAAGGUAACGGCUUACCAAGGCAACGAUGCAUAGCCGACCUGAGAGGGUGAUCGGCCACACUGGAACUGAGACACGGUCCAGACUCCUACGGGAGGCAGCAGUAGGGAAUCUUCCGCAAUGGGCGAAAGCCUGACGGAGCAACGCCGCGUGAGUGAUGAAGGUCUUCGGAUCGUAAAACUCUGUUAUUAGGGAAGAACAUAUGUGUAAGUAACUGUGCACAUCUUGACGGUACCUAAUCAGAAAGCCACGGCUAACUACGUG
RNAcentral lists this ribosomal RNA (496 nucleotides) under uncultured bacterium. RNAcentral describes it as "partial 16S ribosomal RNA". It matches the Rfam family "Bacterial small subunit ribosomal RNA", at positions 29 to 507 of the family's 1533-position model. The record is from RNAcentral.